UACGAGUUUAAAAUUGCCUAUCAGUAGGUGUCGUUAUCAUUAUCGAGGUGUGGCUUCGAUAUCGAUGAAGGUACUCGGAACCAGGUUUUUCCAUCAGUCGCCUCAGGUAUAUAUAAGACCCCACGCCUAACUAAAUGUUUGCUAGUGCUCUGAUUGCCUUUCGUACGAAACUUAUUUUCCAAUGUCCACGCAGUUCUUGCGAGGACGUGAAACGUGAAACGUAAACCAGUGAUAAAGAAUAUUUCACGUUAGUCUAAAGAAUACACGUUUAAUGGCGUCACGGAUAAGCUUUCUCGAGUGCCGGUGAAGUUAAUCAGUGGAACGUUAGAAUUGAUCUCGAAAGUUGCCCUUAAUUAUUGUCGAACAGCUGUUGUACUCUAUAUAACAUCUCUGGCUCACAGAAUGAUCGCUUGCGCGACAGGUUGGAGGAGGAAAAUCCAAAGCGAAGAGUAUCGAACCAUUUUUUCACCAGAGUCUUCUAUUCAUUUGUUCUUCUAUUACAUCGAAGUACGCACCAUUCGAUAAAAUCUUUGCAAAUUUACCUAUAAAAAUUGAAUCUAAAUUUUCUUUCAAUAUUUUUUUUUGUACUAUUUGCAUACCGUGUGCAUUUCGCAGUUUCUUGCACAUUCAAAUUUCCUAUAAAUGCUCUCUGUGCUCUCUUGGAACGUGUGACUAACGGAAAAUUAAAGAUUGUACGGUUUUUCUUUACGAUUGUGUCGUAAGUUUAAAAGGUUAGGUAUCGCUUUAGAUUACGAAGCUACGCGGAUAUCUUCGUGGGAAGGCUCUCGGUGACAGUGAAGAUCUACGCACGGACUGUAUCGGCAUUGCGCUAUCUGCAUGACUUGUAGUUGGAAGUGAGGAUCUAGGCAGUGAGCAUUAACGCUCUUGAUAACUUGUCAGAUCUAACUCUUCCAGCUCAAGGUCCUGCUGAUUAUCAACCUUCCACGGUGAACGAACGUUUCGACUCCAAAAUCGAGUGACCGAAUCAUUUUACGUAGAAUCGUAAGUCAAACGGGCAAACAUUUUGGACUUUGCUCAAAUUUCGAGUGUGUCGUAGCACCUGCACGUGUAUCGAAGGAUCUUUCAAAAUUACGAAUGUAACAAUUUAGCAAACAGCAAAAUUCAAAAAUGUGGAGAGAACUGAGUAAAUACAGUCCCAUUUAGAAAUAUGAAAAUCGUAAUGUAAAAAUAAUGCAUUACUCAUUACAAAAGAAAAUACGUUCUCAUUACCCAUUUUUUUUUUUUUUAUACUAUGCUAUACUAUACUAUGCUUCUAGCACUGUUUUCCAACUGUAAGAUUCGCAAUACUCCAAAUUUUGAGAAAUUCGUGUUUAAAUGUCGCUAAGGAGUAAGAACAUAUCAAAAUCUGAUCAAGAUCCAAAAUGUUGGUUCGUUUGAUAUCGGACUUGGCGUGGAAUGACUCAAGCUUUACGAUACCGCAGAGGGAUCAUGGUUCAAGUGGAGAAGUGGUCUCUACGCUUUGAAUUCAAGUGAGAUUCAACUCCUCCAACUUACUCCAGAACCCUCAUAUUCUUCGUGGCUCGUAUACUCGUAUCAGAUAAAUAUCUUUACGGUGCGGAUAGUAUAUCACGUACACAUUCGUGGACUCGU
Hylaeus volcanicus is the source of this 1611-nucleotide long non-coding RNA. RefSeq lists it as uncharacterized. The transcript has 2 exons. Lineage: Eukaryota; Metazoa; Arthropoda; Insecta; Hymenoptera; Colletidae. The record is from RefSeq and is a predicted model, not a curated record.